RNAcentral lists this long non-coding RNA (253 nucleotides) under Homo sapiens (human). RNAcentral's name for it is "non-protein coding lnc-TRRAP-2:1". Lineage: Eukaryota; Metazoa; Chordata; Mammalia; Primates; Hominidae. The record is from RNAcentral.
GUGGUGGUGGUGGUGUGGUGGUGGGUGGUGGUGGUGGCUGGUGGUGGUGGUGGUGAUGGUGGUGGUGAUGGUAGUGGGUGGUGGUGGUGGUGGUGAUGGUGGUGAUGGUUGGUGGUGGUGGUGGUGGUGGUGGUGGUGGUGGUGGUGGUGGUUGGUAAUGGUGGUGUUGGUGGUGGUGGCUGCAGCACUGAGGUUUUGGCGAAGUCCAGGGGAUUCUGCUGGGCAGUCAGGGCUGCUGUGCUGCCUCCUGGUC